CAUAGUGAGGUACGUGUAGG
RNAcentral lists this microRNA (20 nucleotides) under Marek's disease virus serotype 2 MDV2. RNAcentral's name for it is "mdv2-miR-M29-3p". Its record names the gene mdv2-miR-M29-3p. The record is from miRBase by way of RNAcentral. Lineage: Duplodnaviria; Heunggongvirae; Peploviricota; Herviviricetes; Herpesvirales; Orthoherpesviridae.